RNAcentral lists this long non-coding RNA (1724 nucleotides) under Homo sapiens (human). Its description in RNAcentral is "WEE2 antisense RNA 1 (ENSG00000261994.5)". Lineage: Eukaryota; Metazoa; Chordata; Mammalia; Primates; Hominidae. The record is from RNAcentral.
AGCUCGCCAGAGGAAAAAGGAAACAGAAACUCCGCAACUUGCGCCUUGGAAAUACUGCCGGCUAGCGCUGCGGGAAACGGCUCCCCUUAACUCUGAAGUUCCGCGAUCUUCUCUUUGUGCGCGGGCGGAUGGAUCAACGCCGCCAAGUGGGGAAAGCGCGAAUGCAGUCCCCCACUACAACAAAUUAUGCAGUCGAGUUUUCCACAUUUGGGAAUAUCACAGGGGUCAGCACAUCCGGAGUGCAAUCGAUGAGCCCCACGCUGGGAAAAACCACCUUCGUGAUCAUGGUAUCUUCCCUGCCAGAGAGAAACCAAUCAGCUUCAUUUUCAACUUCUUCUAUGACUCCAGAGGAUUCACUUUGCAUCUUGUGACAAAUGAAUAUAUUACCUGAAAAAAAAAUGACAGGAUAGAUAUUGAAGAAAUAAUUUUUUAUAGGACUCUGGAGUGAAGGGAUUAAUAUUGACCAGAGCCAAUGAGGUCAUCUCAUCCUUGAGGGGAGCAGGUGUGAGCUUCAAAUGCUUAGGGCCUCUGGAAGGAAGCUUCCCUGUUGGAGAAAUCACCAACCGGCUCAGCAUGGUCUGAAUGAGGAUGACAAAAGGAGUUGCUGCACAGGGGGAAAGCGAAGUUCCCAGGAGUAAGAUGUGCAAGAAGCGGGCAGCCUUGCAUCUCAGGGCUGAGUUCCCUCAACUGUGUGCUUGAGGGAAGUUCUCCCCUUGCAGACACACUGCUGAGUGAUAAGGAAGCACCUAGACUCCACUCUGACCAGACUUGGUUCUGAGGCCUAUGAAAUGUUGAUGGGAAGAACAGAAGCAGGAAAAUCUAUCUAUUCAAAUUUGCAAGACGUGGAAACUUUUAUUCACCUUCCUGGUUAGACUGUUCCUUUGUCAAAGUAAAGCUAAGGCCAUGGAAAAUGAGCUAUUUGAGAGUUUGUCGCUCCAAGGAAGAACAUGCUGGCCUAAUUGUCCCCCAAGUCAGGAGAGAGAAUUGUAAAAAACACUUAAACAGGCCUAAGUAAAGGUCCAGCACAUUAUUUAUUUAAGACUGAAUUAGAACUGAGUCAUUCCGACUCUGAAAAAAGAGUGUUGUUGGAUUCUUAUGUAUUUAAUGGGUCUGCCCUAUUGAAAACCAUUGUGAAGUAUGGUUUCCCAAGCAAGAAAUGACACUUUCACUGUCAGUCUUUCUAGGAGUCUGGCAGAAUCCAGGACCGGGAUUACCCUUAUUUAUGAAGCGACCUUAGACUAACAGUGGCUCUCUGGGUCUCCAGACAAUUGGCCAGGGACUCUAAAAACCAGAAACAAAGUUGAGAGAACUCCAUGCUGGUGGAGAAAAACAGCUGGCCUUUAUCACCAGAAUGUGCCCCAUAGAAGCAGCAAAGCAGCAAGCGACGUUCUUAAACAAGGGCCUGUGGGCCUCGUCAAGAUCUGGAGGAAUCAUCUACGACUCACUGCUGAGUGAGAGGGCUAGGCAGUGUCUUUAAGGUCCUGCCAGCUUUAACAUUGUAUGCUUUUUCUUUUGUUCAAUCUCUCACCACAACUGGAAGUGUUGCCUCAACUACACAGGAGAAAGUUUGCAGUAACUUAGAGAAAACAUUAUUUUAAUCACCAGUGUAUGUUCUCCUGCUCCCUGGACAAAUCCAUCAGCAGCGGCAACACUGACCAGGUCCAGAUUGGGGCCGCUGCGGUGGAUGUGAAUCCAUUGAAACUAGGGGUCUCCAGUGCUCCUGA